GAGGGAAUCUUCCACAAUGGGCGCAAGCCUGAUGGAGCAACACCGCGUGAGUGAAGAAGGGUUUCGGCUCGUAAAGCUCUGUUGUUAAAGAAGAACACGUAUGAGAGUAACUGUUCAUACGUUGACGGUAUUUAACCAGAAAGUCACGGCUAACUACGUGCCAC
This 164-nucleotide ribosomal RNA is filed under the name uncultured bacterium. RNAcentral's name for it is "partial 16S rRNA". It matches the Rfam family "Bacterial small subunit ribosomal RNA", at positions 355 to 511 of the family's 1533-position model. The record is from RNAcentral.